GAAAACAGCAUAGGAAUGUAUAGCCUAUUGCUUUAUAUAAUAUAAAUGAUGAUCAUAUGAGAUCUGAGAAUCAUAGAAAAGCAAAGCAUGUCAGAAUACACACAGAUCAUCUGCUGCCUUCAGAUGGGACAUCUGCCACAGAAAUCAUUGAUGGAUGUGGGCAGAACCGAGACAGCUGUGAACUAUCAACACACAGUGAAUUUGAAAAGGCAGCUCUCAAGAGAAUAUCACUUAGACCCAGAGUUCCUGUGUAGGAGUUAUUGAAUUAAGAUAUCUUUUGUCUUAUAGGCUAUACUUAAUAUUAUAUUACUAAAUACUUGUAUGGAAAUACUUUUUUAUCGGUUACCUAAAAAGAUUUGCAGCAGUCUUUUAGUUUUUUUUCACUUUGAUGUCUAAAACAAAUGUAAUCUUGUGCAUUCAUGUUAUGUUUAAGAGUUUAGGCCUUAAACAAACAUCACCAGAGGGGGCUACAGACAGCAUUUAAAGCACCUUAUAUACAACACACUAAUUAUUGGCCCCUGAUAAAUGUAUGUGAUUAUCAAAUACAUCCAACUAGUGCAUAUUUAGAAAAACAAUUAAAACCUUGCUGACUGACAAAAGUCCAGUAUGAACACACAUAAUGGUCAUGGGUGUUAUGUUU
Long non-coding RNA from Sinocyclocheilus rhinocerous, 640 nucleotides. RefSeq lists it as uncharacterized. Lineage: Eukaryota; Metazoa; Chordata; Actinopteri; Cypriniformes; Cyprinidae. The record is from RefSeq and is a predicted model, not a curated record. The transcript is spliced from 3 exons.